Molecule: ribosomal RNA, 566 nt
Filed under: Bacillus sp. SRHGM21
Lineage: Bacteria; Bacillati; Bacillota; Bacilli; Caryophanales; Bacillaceae
Description: bacterial SSU rRNA
Rfam family: Bacterial small subunit ribosomal RNA
Source: RNAcentral
GAAGUGCAGCGUUGUCCGGAAUUAUUGGGCGUAAAGCGCGCGCAGGCGGUUUCUUAAGUCUGAUGUGAAAGCCCCCGGCUCAACCGGGGAGGGUCAUUGGAAACUGGGAGACUUGAGUGCAGAAGAGGAGAGUGGAAUUCCACGUGUAGCGGUGAAAUGCGUAGAGAUGUGGAGGAACACCAGUGGCGAAGGCGACUCUCUGGUCUGUAACUGACGCUGAGGCGCGAAAGCGUGGGGAGCAAACAGGAUUAGAUACCCUGGUAGUCCACGCCGUAAACGAUGAGUGCUAAGUGUUAGAGGGUUUCCGCCCUUUAUUGCUGCAGCUAACGCAUUAAGCACUCCGCCUGGGGAGUACGGGCCGCAGGACUGAAACUCAAAGAAAUUGACCGGGCCCCGCACAACCUGUGAAACAUGUGGUUUAAUUGGAAGGAACGCAAAGAACCUUACCGGGUCUUGACAUCCCCCGGAGGGCUCAAGAUAUAUUUUGUAGCCUGUCGAGAAUAUAAAGCAACGGGGAAAGGUUUCCUCGUUUCUCCCCAAUAAAAAAAAAGGGGCCCCCCUGGUGG